ACAGAGGGGGCAAGCGUUGUUCGGAUUUACUGGGCGUAAAGGGCGCGUAGGCGGUUUCAAAAGUCAGAUGUGAAAUUUUUCCGCUCACCGGGAAAACUGCAUCUGAAACUCUGAGACUCGAGUUUGUGGGAAGGGAGUGGAAUUCUCGGUGUAGCGGUGAAAUGUGUAGAUAUCGAGAAGAGCACCAGUGGCGAAAGCGGCACUCUAUCAUAAAACUGUCUCUGAGGCGCGUAUGUUAGGGGAGCAAAAGG
RNAcentral lists this ribosomal RNA (251 nucleotides) under uncultured prokaryote. RNAcentral describes it as "partial 16S rRNA". It matches the Rfam family "Bacterial small subunit ribosomal RNA", at positions 525 to 775 of the family's 1533-position model. The record is from RNAcentral.